RNAcentral lists this long non-coding RNA (721 nucleotides) under Marmota monax (woodchuck). Lineage: Eukaryota; Metazoa; Chordata; Mammalia; Rodentia; Sciuridae. The record is from RNAcentral.
AUUUAAUAAGUUUUUUUAUUACUACCGUUGAUACACCUCCAGGCAGACAUUGAGUUUUCAAAAGUUGACGGAGAGGUUUCUGAAUAUGGUGGCUGUUGGCUAGAAGUGCUUGAUUUGUCUUCUCCCACCUUCCUAUUUGAAUAAUCUUGAAGUACACUCAAAACUAGAAUAUUGAGCAACAAUUUGCCUUAUGUGAGGAAUAAUUUUUACCAACCAACUAUAGAUAACACACAUAAAUUUUCUGGAAAAAAAUUACCCAGAUUGAUUCAACAUGAGUAGAAAAUCUGAAUUUUUCAUGUCAUAUAGGAAGGAAUUCCCCUUAUCUCCCAAAUGAUGCUAUGUGUAGAGAGUUAGAAAAGGUAAUUUAUUUUUGGAAAAAAGAUAAUUACUGCUUCAUAGAAACUGUUGUAAAGCAUAGGGGCAUCAUGUUAAAAUUUUAUCAGUUAGUUUAUAAAUGUUGUAUGAUGCUGAUAUAAAAUUUGAUAAAACGUUUUGUGUACUUGUACAGAGAUUUAAAUGGAAAAAGAAAUCACCAGGAUGGAGCAUCAUUAAAAUACUGUAUUCAAAAGACAUUUAAUGCCAUGAGAAAAUGUACACUGCUUAGUGAAAAAGGAGGGCAUAUAACUUUGUAUUUAACAGAAUUCCUUUGGUGAGUAAAAAAAAAUUAAAGAAAGAUAAUGAUAUAAAUAUUAAUAGUAAAAUCUAUGUAGUACAUGUGGGC